GCACUGUUGAAGAGUCCCAUAAUAGGACGAAACGGCCGUCCAGUGC
Non-coding RNA from Schistosoma rodhaini, 46 nucleotides. Lineage: Eukaryota; Metazoa; Platyhelminthes; Trematoda; Strigeidida; Schistosomatidae. The record is from Rfam.